This 230-nucleotide unclassified non-coding RNA is filed under the name plant metagenome. RNAcentral's name for it is "partial contains small subunit ribosomal RNA, internal transcribed spacer 1, and 5.8S ribosomal RNA". The record is from RNAcentral.
UCUCCGUAGGUGAACCUGCGGAGGGAUCAUUACAGAAUUCUCGCUCUCGCGGGUACUUCCCCCACCCACUGUUAUCGUUACUGCCGUUCCUUUGGCGGGUCGCCGGUUCCCCGUCUGCCGGCGUCUAUUAGGCGAGUCGCGCCUGCCAGAGUCCUUCGAACCCUGAAUGUUAGUGUCGUCUGAGUAUUAUAUCAUAGUUAAAAUUUUCAACAACGGAUCUCUUGGUUCUG